Long non-coding RNA from Humulus lupulus (European hop), 855 nucleotides. RefSeq lists it as uncharacterized. The record is from RefSeq and is a predicted model, not a curated record. The transcript has 3 exons. Lineage: Eukaryota; Viridiplantae; Streptophyta; Magnoliopsida; Rosales; Cannabaceae.
GAACGUGUGAGACCAAUGCAAGACGGAUAAUGCUUUUAUCUGAGGGCUGUUGAGGGUCAUUAUCGGAGAAAAUAAUUAAAAAGUACAACUUGAGAGAGAAGGGACACUCACAACAUCAGACUUAUGCUUUGGGAAUUAAAGAGGUCUAGGAAAUUGAUGAGAGCAAACAUCAUCCUGGUUUUGUGCUUCACACAUUGGGUUGGCCUUUGGAUCAAAAGACAUAUGGAGGAUCGUUUAUGUACCAUAUGAAUGAUAGACAGGUUAGAAAGUGCUUUUUUUUUUUGCUUCGUCUAAUUCAUUCUUGACUACUCCAGAAGAAAAAAAUGACUGACCUUAUGAGAACUCAAAAUAAAACAUUUAAUUACUAUAAGUUUCUUUUUUGAUGAGAUCGUUGAGCAUUGUUUAUUGUCUGUGCCACAAGUCUAAUUGUUUUGUUGUAUGUGUGUGUGUUUUCUUUUUUGUUGUAAACUCAUGAAGCGUUAAGUCUUAUUUUUUUUAUUUUUUUUAAUCUUUUAGGUUUCCAUUGGUCUAGCAGUUGCUUUGAAUUAUCGCAAUCCAUUUUUGAACCCUUAUGAGGAGUUCCAGGUAAUCUAGAUCUCUAAUUUCAUGAUGUAAAUGUGGUGAUUUAUUUAUUUUUUGCUGUCUCUUUUAUGACUCUUGGGUAUGAGAAGUUAUUGGGAAAUGAAAGGCUAAUUUUUAAAUUUUGUCUGGAGGGUAUUGUUUCUUUCAUCUUUGUUGGGAACAUGAUAGACCCCUAAUAUGAUUCACGCACAAUAGGAUUACGAGGGGUAAAACUGUGACUUAUUAGAAGGAGAAAGAAUUAGGGGUAUAUUGGUCUUUGUACUUGGUAUGAUG